GAUGAACGCUGGCGGCGUGCCUAAUACAUGCAAGUCGAGCGAACAGACGAGGAGCUUGCUCCUCUGACGUUAGCGGCGGACGGGUGAGUAACACGUGGAUAACCUACCUAUAAGACUGGGAUAACUUCGGGAAACCGGAGCUAAUACCGGAUAAUAUAUUGAACCGCAUGGUUCAAUAGUGAAAGACGGUUUUGCUGUCACUUAUAGAUGUAUCCGCGCCGCAUUAGCUAGUUGGUAAGGUAACGGCUUACCAAGGCAACGAUGCGUAGCCGACCUGAGAGGGUGAUCGGCCACACUGGAACUGAGACACGGUCCAGACUCCUACGGGAGGCAGCAGUAGGGAAUCUUCCGCAAUGGGCGAAAGCUUGACGGAGCAACGCCGCGUGAGUGAUGAAGGUCUUCGGAUCGUAAAACUCUGUUAUUAGGGAAGAACAAAUGUGUAAGUAACUAUGCACGUCUUGACGGUACCUUAUCAGAAAGCCACGGCUAACUACGUG
Molecule: ribosomal RNA, 497 nt
Filed under: uncultured bacterium
Lineage: Bacteria
Description: partial 16S ribosomal RNA
Rfam family: Bacterial small subunit ribosomal RNA
Source: RNAcentral